Molecule: long non-coding RNA, 300 nt
Filed under: Elaeis guineensis (African oil palm)
Lineage: Eukaryota; Viridiplantae; Streptophyta; Magnoliopsida; Arecales; Arecaceae
Description: long non-coding RNA (EGUI_LNC043021)
Source: RNAcentral
ACCUUCUCCUCUUUAGUGAGAUACCUAGAUCAGAUCUAGAGCUUUUGGGUGAGGGAAAACAAAAGUGAGAAGAGAGUCUUCUUCCUUCCUUCUAUCAUUAGAUCUUUCUUAUCUUUCUUUGGUUUUGGAGGAGUCUGAGGGAUCCAAAGAAAGUAGCAGAUCUGCCAUAUACAGUAGUUUCUAUGCAAGCUAAUACUCUGGAGAAAUAGAUCAGCAUAGGGCUUCGAGUAGAUCAACCGUAGAGGCCAGUCACCCUAUGCGGCUACAAGCAACCCUCAAGUCCAUGAGAGUCAGAUGCGA